Molecule: long non-coding RNA, 218 nt
Filed under: Hordeum vulgare
Lineage: Eukaryota; Viridiplantae; Streptophyta; Magnoliopsida; Poales; Poaceae
Description: long non-coding RNA (HVUL_LNC016282)
Source: RNAcentral
UGUGGUGACCUCACCCAGUGAUAGAAGGGGUAGUGAGGCACGUAUCGUGUUGUUGCCAUCAAGGGUAAAAAGAUGGAGUUUUCAUCAUUGGUUUGAGAUUAUCCCUCUACAUCUUGUCAUCUUGCUUAAAGCGUUACUCUGUUUGUUAUGAACUCAAUACACUAGAUGCAUGCUAGAUAGCGGUCGAUGUGUGGACUAAUAGUAGUAGAUGCAGAAAG